GCUACAGGUGGGACAUACAGAAGUUCCCAGUAUAGGGGGUCGAAGUAGAGCUACAGCAGCCAGGCUACACCACAGCCACAGCAAUGAGGGAUCCAAGCCACAUCUGCAACCUAUACCACAGCUCAUGGCAAUGCUGGAUCCUUAACCUAUGGAUCAAGGCCACAGACUGAACCUGCAUCCUGCAUCCUCAUGGACACUAGUCAGGUUUGUUUCCACUGAGCCACAAUGGAAACUCCCUUUAAGAAUUUUUAAAUAAGAUUCUUUUAAAGCUAAAAGUAAAAAAUCAAACACAUAAUUAAAGGACUGCCCUCAAAAGACAGGGACAGUUAUAGCAGUCCCAGUGAUUACAGUAAAUUCAGAUAGAUUUGAAAAGGGAAAAGGAAGAUCAGUAAUAGUGUAUUUCAUACAACAUUAAAUAAUCUGCAAGAUGAUCUGAUGGGAAGACAGGAAUAGUACAUGCUCUACUGAAACAUACCUGGGAAGUUUGUGGAGAUAAGACUAAGGAAGAGCACUAAGUCACAUUAUGGGAAGCCAAUAACUCAGACACAGUCCAGGCCUAUAUUAGAUGUUGGGCUUCCCCAUAACUGCAAUUACCUUACUGAGAGUGGUAAGGGUUGGCAGUAAUUACUACACAAAGACUUCUUAAUUGCCACGAUGGCAAAGUCUACAGACUUUCAAAGGCACUAGUAGAAGUAUGGUAGCAAAGUAUCUGGGCCAAAAAGGAAAAGAGGCGUUUGAUCUCAACGAUGUUAGCUCUAUAGGACAGGGAAAUAUUCAACUUAAAUGUGUUAACAACUCAACUGGGGACUGUCUGAAAGGAACAAAUGGAUUCACAGACAGCCAAUUUUGACACAAAUAAGUAACAGAAAGCAAUGUGUCUGCUCUGACCAAAGCCUAGAAAACAAAUAAUGAAGAAAGGCAAAGUUAGAGGAGCACAGGCCUUAUAGGAACCCCUUAAAUGUCAUGCUUCAGCUGAAACAAAUGGAAAGGAAAAAAGAAAGGCUCCUCAAAGAAGUAAGAUUAAUUUAUAUAAGGAAUUUCAUAGCAGGACAGGAUUGUGAUGAGGACACAAAGGUAUAGAUAGACCAGGAGGAUCAAAACUGGAGCGCAGCAUGCAAAGCCACAAACUUGCUUUGCACAAGUGCCCAUUACAAGUGUGGAUCACUCUCCUCCCAAGAGGGAGGGACAACUUUGUCACUAGACAAAACUCAAUCAUCCCAAGAGGGAGGGACAACUUUGUCACUAGACAAAACUCAAUCAUUUGAGCACUGGGUAGCCAGGACCACAGGGUUCAAAAACAAAAUGAAAAUUAAUCUUUAAAUGUGACAACAAGGAAAAAAGAAACCUCUAGGAGAGAGAAAUCCCCCUGACAAAUUUCUAACAUUUUACCCAAGUAAAACAAUGUCUCAUGCCAACAAAGCAUUAUCAUGCACAGGUGAAAUUCCUUCCCUAUCCAGUAAACACAGUGUCCCUACUGGCCUCUGGAUAGGUGAUUCUUCCCAACUGACUUUAGUCUUAGAGUCUAUCAGUUACGAACAGCUGACACAGACUGGCAACCUGUCAACAUCAAAAGCCAAGAUUUUGUUUUCUUUGAAAACUCUGUUCCCCCAGAAACGGAAAUUUCUCUGUUUUUGGCUGGAAACAAUGUGGGUUAGGGCUGUAUAAUAAUAUGUCAGCCUCUGCACUAUUUAUUGUAGAGAUAAGAGAUGUACUUGUAUCUUUUCAGGUUUGUGGGGAUGGGGUGAUGAAGUUCUCUUCUUGCACAGCAGGUUAAGGAUCCAGUGUUGUCACUGCAGCGACUUGGGUCAUUGCUGAGGCGCAGGAUGGAUACCUAGCCUGGGAACUUCCACAUGUCACAGGCACAGCCAAAAAUAAAUAAGUAAAACAAAAAUAAAACCAAAAAAAGCCCUAGAGACCUUUGACAUAAUGAAAACAUGUGACACCAAUGAAAUUGGAGAAAUUCAGAUUUGAAAUUGGAGAAAUUCAGAUUUGGAGGUGCUAAACUAACUUAAUCUAUUCCAAAGGAAAACAGUCUAUGCUAAAGUUGCUGAAGAAGUUAUCCUGACUUGGAGUUCCCGUUGUGAGGCAGUGGUUAAUGAAUCCGACUAGGAACCAUGAGGUUGCAGGUUCGAUCCCUGGCCUUGCUCAGUGGGAUAAGGAUCCAGUGUUACCGUGAGCUGUGGUGUAGGUUGCAGAUCAGAUGUGGCCCGGAUCCCGUGUUGCUGUGGCCCUGGUGUAGGCGGGUGGGUACAGCUCCAAUUAGACCCCUAGCCUGGGAGCCUCCAUAUGCCGCAAGAGCAGUCCAAGAAAUGGCAAAAAGACAAAAAAAAAAAAAAAAAAAAAGUUAUCCUGACUUGACCCAAACAUUUAAGAGAAUGGCUUCUGGCUGAGACUGAGCAGUAUAAGAAACCAGAGAGCAGACUUUUAUAUUUCAUUUGCUUUAAUUUUAAUUCAUAGGGAGAUCAUAGCUGUGGGAAUUUAAUAAGAGGAGUUCAUAACAAACAAAUUUGGGGGAUUUUCUGUUGCUAACAUGGAAUGGGAGGGCUUUAAGCUGUCAUUCUGUUCAAUGCAGACAAUCUGGAGUGCAAUGAAUGACAUUUUCGCUGAGAAAAAUUUGAGAAAUGGAAGUGAAUUUCCAGUUCAGGGUUAACUUAAGAGAUACCCAUUUCAAAUCUUUUUGGAGUAAAAAUUUAAAUAACCUAAACUAGUCUUCAGAGGAUACACAAAGGAGCAGUUAUUGAUAGAGAUGCCUCGUCAGCAUUCAAGAUAGAACAAAGAACUCCCUGUGCCAGUAAGAAAACAAAGCAUCUAAAAGACAAAGCAAACUUGGGAAUAUGAGCUCACAGUACUUUGUCCAGCUAAUUUCUGUGAGAAGUUGUGGUGGUAAUUUGGUGUUUAAAUUCCACCAUUUAAUCCUCUAAAAUUCUCAACUUGGGGAGUUUACAUAAACACCAAUAGUCAAAUGAGAGGUAAUGAAACACCCUACCGACAGAUGGGCAAGUACUUGGUAGUCCCUCAUUUGCAGUGUUUCUCCAGUAAAAUAAAGUUAGAAGAUGAGGCUUUGCUUAAGAAGCCUACCCCUGCAAAUCUCAAUAAUCUAAAUUUUGUAAUCUGCAUAUUCAUAUGUCUGCAAACUAAAAAUUGGGCCCAAGUACAAUAUACAGAGUCCACCCUAAGACACAUCUUACCUGUCCUGCUUAGCAGAUAGAGACCUUAAGCAGAAGUACAUGAAUAAUCUCAUCAUUAAUAAAAUAGCAAUGUCUUAAGUUCUAAAGUAAUUUUAUAAGCAACUUCUCACUCAUUGGGCAAAAUCAGGAAGAGAGGUGUGAACUCAAGGUCUCUCCGGCCUUCCCUUUGUAAGAUGUGAAGGUCAGAAAUGUUCUUCCAAUUCUGUCAAUCCCUUUCCUCUCUGUUCCCCAAACCACAUAUACACAGAGACAGACAGACAGACACAAAUUAUUCUCUUUUCAGGGAAAAGCCUAGGUCAGUGGUUUUCAAACCUUUUUUAAAAAGCACCUUAAUCUGGAGUUCCCAUCGUGGUGCAGUGGAAACGAAUCCGACUGGGAACCAUGAGGUUGUGGGUUGGAUUUCUGGCCUGGCUCAAUGGGUUAAGAAUCUGGCCAUGCCUGGAGCUGCGGUGCAGGUUGCAGACAAGGCUUGGAUGCUGCAUUGCUGUGGCAUAGGCUGGCAGCUGUAGCUACCACUGGACCCCUAGCCUGAGAAACUCCAUUGCCACAGGUGCGGCCCUAAAAAAAACCACACACACAAAAAAAAAAUAUAUAUAUAUAUAUAUAUAUAAAAUCAUUGCAAUUCUCACUUAAAAUAAAAAAUGAAAAAAAGCAGCUUAAUCUGUUUCUAAAUGAUGUGAUUUCAUGUAAUUUAUACAUACAGAAUGGUUUCUCUAUAGCCAGAACUAGCUUGGCAUCCAAGAUAUGGAAGAGGCUCCCCUCGCUAAUGUGAUUAAUUCAUUUACAAAAAUUUUGUUUCUGAUCUCAGCAUUUAGUCUUUCUGGAGGUGGGUUCUGCUAGUGGUUUAGAGAUUUGGGGACCCAAAAGAAGAGUGAUUUAACCAUGUGACAUAACAACAAACAUUUCCAAAGAACUAAAAGUUAAGACUGUAACCUGGCCAUUUUGGCCUCCUCAUGCCACUAGGUAAAAAGUUCUCACAUUUGGAUAGGUGUCUGAUCAUGGCCAUCAGGAAAAAAACUUGCUCUUCUCCAUGCAGUGAGAGAUGACUGGAAGUCAUGGGACCCCCAUUGGGUACCUUCUGGUUGUUGGGAGAGACAGUCGUCCAUGGGACUCUUGAGUUCCUGCUUAUCUUCCUAGACAUGCCAAAAAUGCAAGGCCCUACCACUUUUUACCCAUGAAGUCACCAUUUCUCAGAGUUUUGUUAGCAGCGACUGACCAUAAGGGUGAGAUAAUGUCUCCACUCCAGGAUAAGUGGAUUUGCCUAUUGCUUGCUUUAAAAAUGACAGAGUUCCCAUUGUGGCUUAGUAGUAACAAACCUGACUAGUGCCCAUGAAGAUGCAGGUUCAAUUUCUGGCUCCCGCUCAGUGGGUUAAGGAUCCAGCGUCAUCAUUAACUGCGGUAUAAUCACAGAUGCAGCUCAGAUCUGGUGUUGCUGUGGCUGUGAUGUAGGCCAGAGGCUGCAACUCCAAUUCAGCUCCUAGCCUGGGAACUUCCAUAUGCCGUACCGCAGCUCAAAAAAAAACAAAAACAAAAACAAAAACAGAUUCCUUUCAUUCAGUGUUCAUUACUCAGCUGCAACACAAACCCACUGUGUGUCUAACAUCCAUUGGGCCCCACCAUGUCAUCCUCAUAGUUACUUGUGGGGCAAGGGAAACUGAUGCAAUGAAGUCUACUGUCUCUGACCUAGGAAUCUCAUGUCUUCUGCCAGCAUCUACUAAACAUCUACAGGCUAACUAAUCAGCUUUUAAGUAGAAUAAAAUAAAUCCAAGGCCCAACACUAGUACUGCCAAAUCUAGUGG
Molecule: long non-coding RNA, 4987 nt
Filed under: Sus scrofa (pig)
Lineage: Eukaryota; Metazoa; Chordata; Mammalia; Artiodactyla; Suidae
Description: lncRNA (ENSSSCG00000059052.1)
Source: RNAcentral